This 417-nucleotide ribosomal RNA is filed under the name uncultured bacterium. RNAcentral describes it as "bacterial SSU rRNA". It matches the Rfam family "Bacterial small subunit ribosomal RNA", at positions 362 to 776 of the family's 1533-position model. The record is from RNAcentral.
UAUUGGUCAAUGGACGCAAGUCUGAACCAGCCAUGCCGCGUGCAGGAUGACGGCUCUAUGGGUUGUAAACUGCUUUUGUACGAGGGUAAACCCCGAUACGUGUAUCGAGUUGAAAGUAUCGUACGAAUAAGGAUCGGCUAACUCCGUGCCAGCAGCCGCGGUAAUACGGAGGAUCCGAGCGUUAUCCGGAUUUAUUAGGUUUAAAGGGUGCGGAGGCGGUUUGAUAAGUUAGAGGUGAAAUGUCGGGGCUCAACCCCGAAACUGCCUCUAAUACUGUUGGACUAGAGAGUAGUUGCCGUGGGCGGAAUGUAUGGUGUAGCGGUGAAAUGCUUAGAGAUCAUACAGAACACCGAUUGCGAAGGCAGCGUACCAAACUAUAUCUGACGUUGAGGCACGAAAGCGUGGGUAGCAAACAGA